This 103-nucleotide small nucleolar RNA is filed under the name Echinops telfairi (small Madagascar hedgehog). Its description in RNAcentral is "Small nucleolar RNA SNORA61 (ENSETEG00000025689.1)". The record is from RNAcentral. Lineage: Eukaryota; Metazoa; Chordata; Mammalia; Afrosoricida; Tenrecidae.
AGCCUCCAUAUCCCUUACCCCUCAGAUCUAAACAUUGGUCUCCAUGGCUAUAAAAGGAGGUGGGGGCGGGAGCGAGAGAGAGCAGUCUGUUCUCCUAAAAUGU